CAGCCGCCGCGGUAAAACGUAGGUGGCAAGCGUUGUCCGGAAUUAUUGGGCGUAAAGGGCUCGCAGGCGGUUUCUUAAGUCUGAUGUGAAAGCCCCCGGCUCAACCGGGGAGGGUCAUUGGAAACUGGGAAACUUGAGUGCAGAAGAGGAGAGUGGAAUUCCACGUGUAGCGGUGAAAUGCGUAGAGAUGUGGAGGAACACCAGUGGCGAAGGCGACUCUCUGGUCUGUAACUGACGCUGAGGAGCGAAAGCGUGGGGAGCGAACAGGAUUAGAUACCCGGGUAGUCCCUGUCUCUUAUAC
RNAcentral lists this ribosomal RNA (301 nucleotides) under uncultured bacterium. RNAcentral's name for it is "partial 16S ribosomal RNA". It matches the Rfam family "Bacterial small subunit ribosomal RNA", at positions 509 to 807 of the family's 1533-position model. The record is from RNAcentral.